UAGGGAAUCUUCCGCAAUGGACGAAAGUCUGACGGAGCAACGCCGCGUGAGUGAUGAAGGUUUUCGGAUCGUAAAACUCUGUUGUCAGGGAAGAACAAGUACCGGAGUAACUGCCGGUACCUUGACGGUACCUGACCAGAAAGCCACGGCUAACUACGUGCCAGCAGCCGCGGUAAUACGUAGGUGGCAAGCGUUGUCCGGAAUUAUUGGGCGUAAAGCGCGCGCAGGCGGUUCUUUAAGUCUGAUGUGAAAGCCCCCGGCUCAACCGGGGAGGGUCAUUGGAAACUGGGGAACUUGAGAGCAGAAGAGAAGAGUGGAAUUCCACGUGUAGCGGUGAAAUGCGUAGAGAUGUGGAGGAACACCAGUGGCGAAGGCGACUCUUUGGUCUGUAACUGACGCUGAGGCGCGAAAGCGUGGGGAGCAAACAGG
Molecule: ribosomal RNA, 429 nt
Filed under: Acidobacteriota bacterium
Lineage: Bacteria; Pseudomonadati; Acidobacteriota
Description: Acidobacteria bacterium partial 16S ribosomal RNA
Rfam family: Bacterial small subunit ribosomal RNA
Source: RNAcentral